UAAGGCUUCGGCCUUAGUGGCGCACGGGUGAGUACACGUGGGAACCUGCCUUACGGUUCGGGAUAACGUCUGGAAACGGACGCUAACACCGGAUACGCCCUUCGGGGAGAAAGUUUACGCCGAGAGAGGGGCCCGCGUCCGAUUACGUAGUUGGUGGGGUAAUGGCCCACCAAGCCGACGAUCGGUAGCUGGUCUGAGAGGAUGAUCAGCCACACUGGGACUGAGACACGGCCCAGACUCCUACGGGAGGCAGCAGUGGGGAAUAUUGGACAAUGGGGGCAACCCUGAUCCAGCAAUGCCGCGUGAGUGAUGAAGGCCUUAGGGUUGUAAAGCUCUUUCGCACGCGACGAUGAUGACGGUAGCGUGAGAAGAAGCCCCGGCUAACUUCGUGCCAGCAGCCGCGGUAAUACGAAGGGGGCGAGCGUUGUUCGGAAUUACUGGGCGUAAAGGGCGCGUAGGCGGCCUGUUUAGUCAGAAGUGAAAGCCCCGGGCUUAACCUGGGAACGGCUUUUGAUACUGGCAGGCGUGAGUUC
Molecule: ribosomal RNA, 533 nt
Filed under: Azospirillum sp. C1
Lineage: Bacteria; Pseudomonadati; Pseudomonadota; Alphaproteobacteria; Rhodospirillales; Azospirillaceae
Description: bacterial SSU rRNA
Rfam family: Bacterial small subunit ribosomal RNA
Source: RNAcentral